GAAAUGCGAUAAGUAAUGUGAAUUGCAGAAUUCAGUGAAUCAUCGAAUCUUUGAACGCACCUUGCGCUCCUUGGUAUUCCGAGGAGCAUGCCUGUUUGAGUGUCAUGGAAUUCUCAACUCUAUUUGCUUUUGUGAAUAGAGCUUGGAUUUGGAGGUUUAUUGCUGGUACUUGUGUUCGGCUCCUCUUGAAUGCAUUAGCUCGAACCUUUGCGGAUCAGCUAUCGGUGUGAUAAUUGUCUACGCCGUUGCAGUGAAGCAUAUCAAUGGGCUCGGCUUCCAAUCGUCCUUUACUGGACAAUGACUUUGACCUUUGACCUCAAAUCAGGUAGGAUUACCCGCUGAACUUAAGC
This 350-nucleotide unclassified non-coding RNA is filed under the name plant metagenome. Its description in RNAcentral is "partial contains 5.8S ribosomal RNA, internal transcribed spacer 2, and large subunit ribosomal RNA". The stretch from base 1 to 105 matches the Rfam family "5.8S ribosomal RNA", at positions 50 to 154 of the family's 154-position model. The record is from RNAcentral.